AUGCCGAUGGUUACCGGAGAGCAUGCCCUGAACGUGGAUGGAGUCGUCGCAGUAGCGGCAGAAGAGUGCCUGGCCUCCAGGCAGAAGACGAUGGCGGCGAUAGCAGGUGUGUUCCCGGAGGAAGACGAAGCUCCUCGCGCUUCCCCUAUUGUGGCUAGCGUGCAUGAUGUCGGCAGGCGGCUCAAUUUUGGGACAGAGGGAGUAGAAUGGAUGCGUCCGAGAUAA
This 225-nucleotide ribosomal RNA is filed under the name Triticum aestivum (bread wheat). RNAcentral describes it as "partial small subunit ribosomal RNA". The record is from RNAcentral. Lineage: Eukaryota; Viridiplantae; Streptophyta; Magnoliopsida; Poales; Poaceae.